GGACUUCGUUAGCCCUGGUGGCCUUUUCGAUAAAUGAAUGGUAGCUGUCUUCCCCGUUUAGCCGCAGAACUAGAAAGUAAGAACUGCCCUAGGCCUUCUCAGUCGGCGCUUCCUUAUCAUGAAUAGGAAGAGGUUUGAAGAAAGCCAAUGGGACACCUCAAGACUAGGACUUUCAAAAGGACUUCUCUUCGGUCAGGCGAGUAGAGGAUACGCUUUGUCGCCUUCUGAGCUCUACGAAAGAACUCUCGCUUUCUAAACCCAUAGGCCUAAGCCGAAAAGGUGGACGGGUAGAGGAGCGAAAGUAAGCCUACAACUAGGCAGCCGAUUGCUAGGACCGACAGUAGCAGUAAGACUUCCAACCAUUAGCAAGGCAAGUUAACUGAAGCAAGAACUCUUAGGCAAGGAGGGGCGUAGCCUCUUUCGAGAUUCGAAGAAUGGCGUAUAAAAAGNGUAAGUCAGAGGCAAUUCGCUAAUAUGGAGCUGUUUAUAUCGGCUGAAGGAAGAGUCAAUAGGUGCACCAAUCAGCCAUGGGAUAGGACAAUCCGGAUCUUCUGAUCUUGUGGCAACCGGUCGAUGGUCAACAAAGGAUCCUGUCUCAAAGGACAUUUUCGUGGACUGUAUCGCCAUCUUAGGACCCUUGAGGGAACCAUUGCUGGGUCUGGAAACGUGCUAAAUAACGCAUUUUUUGAACCGGAAAGUCUGUAUCGACUAAGAACCUAACCUACAAAGGGGUUGACCUCGGAACCCCAAAACCAGGGACUCAUCUCGGAUUCAUCCAGUUUGGAUAGUUAGAAGACUGGGCUGUAGAGGAAAAGAAUCUCUAUGACCUUCUGACUUUCUCGUGAACAGCCUUUAGUGGUUAGAGAAGGGGCAGCUUUGUAACCUGAUCUUGGGAUAAUAGGUGCAUGGGGAAGGUCACCUACAACUUUGAAAUCGUAAUGCAAGAAGGAAGUCUUUCUUUUUUGCCUUCUAUCGCGGUGGGAUAUUUUGAUCUUGAACUCAAUCGUACUGUCUAUGAUGU
RNAcentral lists this long non-coding RNA (1021 nucleotides) under Fragaria vesca (wild strawberry). RNAcentral's name for it is "long non-coding RNA (FVES_LNC004396)". The record is from RNAcentral. Lineage: Eukaryota; Viridiplantae; Streptophyta; Magnoliopsida; Rosales; Rosaceae.